RNAcentral lists this ribosomal RNA (713 nucleotides) under uncultured Mycobacterium sp. Its description in RNAcentral is "bacterial SSU rRNA". The stretch from base 75 to 710 matches the Rfam family "Bacterial small subunit ribosomal RNA", at positions 875 to 1520 of the family's 1533-position model. Lineage: Bacteria; Bacillati; Actinomycetota; Actinomycetes; Mycobacteriales; Mycobacteriaceae. The record is from RNAcentral.
UCACCGGUAACGGGGGUCUAGGUUGGGUUUCCUUCCUUUAGGAUUCCGGCCGUACUUACCCAUUAGUACCCGCCUGGGAGUACGGCCGCAAGGCUUAAUCCAAGAAAUUGACGGGGCCGCCCAAGCGGCGGAGCAUGUGGAUUAAUUCGAUGCAACGCGAAACCUUCCUGGGUUUGACAUGCACAGGACGCCGGCAGAGAUGUCGGUCCCUUGUGCCUGUGUGCAGGUGGUGCAUGGCUGUCGUCAGCUCGUGUCGUGAGAUGUUGGGUUAAGUCCCGCAACGAGCGCAACCCUUGUCUCAUGUUGCCAGCACGUUAUGGUGGGGACUCGUGAGAGACUGCCGGGGUCAACUCGGAGGAAGGUGGGGAUGACGUCAAGUCAUCAUGCCCCUUAUGCCCAGGGCUUCACACAUGCUACAAUGGCCGGUACAAAGGGCUGCGAUCCCGUGAGGGUUAGCGAAUCCUUUAAAGCCGGUCUCAGUUCGGAUUGGGGUCUGCAACUCGACCCCAUGAAGUCGGAGUCGCUAGUAAUCGCAGAUCAGCAACGCUGCGGUGAAUACGUUCCCGGGCCUUGUACACGCCGCCCGUCACGUCAUGAAAGUCGGUAACACCCGAAGCCGGUGGCCUAACCCUUGUGGAGGGAUCUGUUGAAGUUGGGAUCGGCGAGAGAGAAGAAGUCGUAACAUGUUUCUCUGUAGUGGAGUGAGAGAGAGA